GACGUAGGGCGCGAGCGUUGUCCGGAUUUAUUGGGCGUAAAGAGCUCGUAGGCGGCUCGUUGCGUCGGCUGUGAAAACCCGCGGCUUAACUGCGGGCUUGCAGUUGAUACGGGCAGGCUAGAGUUCGGUAGGGGAGACUGGAAUUCCUGGUGUAGCGGUGAAAUGCGCAGAUAUCAGGAGGAACACCGGUGGCGAAGGCGGGUCUCUGGGCCGAUACUGACGCUGAGGAGCGAAAGCGUGGGGAGCGAACAGG
Molecule: ribosomal RNA, 253 nt
Filed under: uncultured bacterium
Lineage: Bacteria
Description: partial 16S ribosomal RNA
Rfam family: Bacterial small subunit ribosomal RNA
Source: RNAcentral